Molecule: long non-coding RNA, 2655 nt
Organism: Falco peregrinus (peregrine falcon)
Lineage: Eukaryota; Metazoa; Chordata; Aves; Falconiformes; Falconidae
Exons: 2
Source: RefSeq, a predicted model, not a curated record
CCUCCCGCCCCGCUGGGCCCGCUGCGGGCGGCCGCCGGGGAGCCGCGCCUCCCCCCGGCUCUGUAACAACAGGGGCUUCCCACAGAACCGCCCCCAGCGGUGCUCGGGUUGGGGGGCGGCCGGCUCGGGCCGUGUGUCCCGCCCCUGGGCUCUGGGGGCAUAGGCCUCAGGGCCGCCGGCAGGCCGGCGUGCUCCCAGCCGCACCGGGGCGGAGGCCUGGAACGGUCAGGCUGUCCUGGGAGGGGACGGGCACCUCAGCGUGUGGCGGCGGGCAGGUGGCCUCUCCGCUGGGGCUGGCUGGCACGGGUGGGUGUCCCCUGCCCCGCUCCUGUGGCCGGCACCGGCCUGGGCUGCUGCACCCGCCUUCCCGCCUUCCAGCAGAGCAAAUGAAGCUGCUUUUCUCCAGAUGGGUGCAGGGUGCAAAAUUGCCUGGGACAGAUGGGCAGAGAGCGUGGUGGUGGAUGGGGCCGGCUGGGCCCUAUGGGAGCACUUUUCAAGCAAACUAUAUUUUCAUAUAGCAGUAGCAAGAGUUUCACGUUCAGGCUUACAGACCGCUGGUUGUGCCUGAAUGUAGAGGCCCAUAUCCUGCUGCAGAUCGGUGACUUGUAAUCAGAGCAAGCAAGGGACAGUGCAGAGAGCAACAGCAAUUCUCUGGUGGAAGGAUGUGAUAAGGAGAACAAGGAGGAAAAGAGGAGGUUCUGCACCCCAGGAAGGCUGUACUCCAUUGUAUCUGCUUUUGAAAACUAGAGAAAUCUCAGAAGACCAGCCCAGAAGUGAAUUGAGAUUGAAUGUCCUGAAGACCUCCAUCUGUUUGGUUUAUCAAAAAUGAGAUUAAAGCAAGAGCGGAGAUGGGGUGCAAGCACAGGCACAGUGGCAGUGGUCUACAAUUAACCACGCAACAAGCAAAGAAGAGCUGGAGCUGAAUUGGAAGGACUCUCGUUCCCAGGAGGUUUCUCCCGUCUCAGUCCCAUGGAUAUGGUGGCUGUUCCCAUGUGUGUGCCAGUGCAAAAGACUUAGUUUGUCUUCUAAAGAGCCAGGUUACAUUCAAGAACAUGCACACAUACUUCACUGGCGUGAACAGCAAAACAGAUAGAACAGUACUUUUACCAACACCCACUUAGUGCCUGAGGGAAAGGCUAUGGAUGUUGUCUACCUGGACCUUAGUAAAGCCUUGACACGGUCUCCCACAGCAUUCUCCUGGAGAAACUGGCUGCUCGUGGCCUGCACGGGUGUACUUUGUGCUGGGUUAAAAGCUGGCUCGACGGCCAGGCCCGAAGAGUGGUAGUAAAUGGGGUUACAUCCAGCUGGCAGUGGAUCACAAGCGGUGUUCCCCAGGGCUCAGUGCUGGGGCCAGUCCUGGUUGAUAUCCUUAUUGACGAUCUGGACGAGGGGACCGAGUGCACCCUCGGUCGGUUUGCAGGUGACACCGAGCUGGGGGCAGUGCUGACCUGCGGGAGGGCAGGGGGCUCUGCAGAGGGGGCUGGGCAGGCCGGGGCCGAUGGGCCGAGGCCACUUGUAGGAGGCUCAACAGGGCUCAGUGCCGGGUCCUGCCCCUGGGUCACACCAGCCCCGCGCAGCGCGACGGGCUGGGGCAGGGGGCUGGGAACUGCCUGGGGGGAAAGGGCCUGGGAGUUUUUGUUGACGGCCGGCUGGGCAUGAGCCAGCAGUGUGCCCAGGUGGCCAAGAGGGCCAACAGCAUCCUGGCUUAUGUGUGAAACAGCAUGGCCAGCAGGACUAGGGAAGUGAUUGUCCCUCUAUACUUGGAGGUGGUACAGUCACCGCCCCUGGAAGUGUUUAAAAAACAUGGUGCUUGGGGACAAAGUUUAGUGGUGGACUUGGCAGUGAUGGGUUAAUGGUUGGACUUGGUGAUCUCAAAGGUCUUUUCCAACCUAAAUGAUUAUAUGAUUCUAUUACUGAUGGGGUUUCCUGGGUACUGCUGCCCCUGCCAGAUUCCUCUCCACAAAAUGACCCCAGCUCUUCCUUCAGUUAUCGGUGAAGUUUGGCCACCUCUCACAUCAUUCCCAGCUAACACCUCUGAAAUCUGGGUAUUCUUCAUGGCAGUGUAACUCCCGUCAGCUUCUCACUCUGUUUGUUGUGGUCAGCAAUCUCUCUUGUAGUGUUUCCCACAGUCUGUUCAGUUAGCCUUAGCUUAUGCCAGGCCCUUAUCAUCAGUUUGUGUGCCUUAAUGCAUACCCCCAAAGUUGUCUGCAUGUCACAUCAUUUUUUCCUGUGCUCUUGCUAGCCUUGAUGUGCUGGUCUUCACCAUCCCAUGGUGGCUGUGAGUGCCCUCCUUUCUGACCAGGCAUGGUUUCAGCCCUUUUGAGUGACUCUUUCCCUUUGUGCCUGACCUACCUGCCUGCAGCCUGCCUCAUUCUGCAGGUGCCUGGCGUGGAAGUCCUUGCCUUGCACAGGGGACUGAAUUGGACUGAAGCAUGAAACGACAGAGCCCCGCUGAAUGCUCUGCUUGUGGGAUGAGGGUGCGUGGGCCCCGUGGCAGGCAGCAGCGCCCGGCGCUGAGCUCUGCCUGCUAACAGCUCGCAGGAUAAAAACAAGCAUGGCAUCACAGCCUCUUUGGGAAGUUUGCUGCCACCCUGCUCUCUGCAGCCAUUUGCCACCAGGUCCUUCCCAAUAAACAGACACCAGAGAACGCCGCUA